GAGGAGGACGGAGAGUUGGGGACAGGAAGUUCCUUUUAUAUUAAUUUCCCCCCUUGCAGUAGUUCCUGGUCCUCUCUACAAAGGCGUUCGAGCUCUGUGGUUUAACCCUGUCACUGCGCAGACAGACACUAGCAGAAGGGUUGCAGCUGCAAUUCAGCUAGCGGAGAGACAGCAUGUGCAGAUACCAGACAUGGACACACUAUUCCAGCAGAGGUCGCACCAGUGCCAAAUACAGAGUUUUCACCAAGAAGUGAAACUUGGUAGUGAUUGGACAUCUAAGAGGGCGAACACCAGUGAAAAUGAGAUAGGAUCUGAGGUUAAAAUAGAGAAGAACAAGUUAAAAAUUAUUUAGACAAGUUAGUUGUCUUCAAGUUGCUGUGGCCUGAUUAAAUGCAUCUUAGAAUACUCAAGGAGCUGACAGAGGAGAUAUCUGAGCCAUUAGUGAUGAUCUUUGAAAACUCAUGGAAGACAGGAGAGGUUUUGGAGAACUGGAAAAGGGCACAUAUAAUACCAAUCUAUAAAAAGGGGAAUAAGGACUACCUGGGGAAUUACAGACCAGUCAGUUUAACUUCAAUUCCUGGAAAGAUAAUGGAGCAAAUAAUCAAGCAAUCAAUUUGCAAACACACCUACAAGAUAAUAAAGUGAUGAAUCAUAGACUAUCAAGGUUGGAAGGGACCUCAGGAGGUCAUCUAGUCCAACCCCCUGCUCAAAGUAGGGCUAAUCCCCUGACAGAUUUUUGCCCCCGAUCUGUAAGGAUUGAAGUCCGAACCCUGGGUUUAGCAGGCCAAUGCUCAAACCACUGAGCUAUCCUUCCCCCAGAGUAACAAUCAGGAUGGAUUUGCCAAGAACAAAUCAUGUCAAACCAACCUAAUAGCUUUCUUUGACAGGAUAACAAGCCUUGUGGAUAGGGAUGAAAGGGCAGAUGUGGUAUAUCUUGACUUUAGUAAGGAUUUUGAUACUGUCUCACGUGACCGUCUCAUAAACAAACUAGCGAAAUACAGCCUAGAUGGAACUACUAUAUGGUGGGUGCAUAACUGAUUGGAAAACCAUUCCCAGAGAGUAGUUAUCAGUGGUUCACAGUCAAACUGGAAGGGCAUAUCAAGUGGAGUCCCGCAGGGACAGGUCUUGGGUCCAAUUCUGUUCAAUAGCUUCAUCAAGGAUUUAGAUAAUGGCAUAGAUAAUACCUAGUCCUGCCUUGAGUGCAGGGGACUGGACUAGAAGACUUCUCGAGGUCCCUUCCAGUCCUAGGCUUUUAUGAUUCUAUGUAUAUAUUUACAUGUAGCCAUAUUAAAAUGCAUAUUGUUGGUUUGCGCCCAGCUUAUCAAGUGAUCCAGAUAGCUCUAUAUCAGACCUAUAUUCUUCAUUUGUGUGUCAUCUACAAACUUUAUCAGUGAUGGUUUUCUUCCAGAUGAAAGAACCUGGUGUACUGCUUUCGCAAGACUCAACAGGGCAUCCAUCUUAUUCGCUUAAUGAAUUCUUCCAAAUUUUGCACAUAUAGAGGUAGCCAGGACAGGGAUUGUACUUCAGCCACUUGGACUGAAAUUUUUGGUGCCAGGUAUCCGUCUCAAGUUGAUUUUUUUUUUUUAAAGUUUCAGCUAAAUUAGUUCAGCCAUUUGUAACAGAUAUUUGUAACAGUUUAGCUACCAGUAAGUUUCCACAGCAAAAUUUAGCACAAAUAUAAAGAAUUCUGGAUGUAAAACAUUCUAUAUAAUAUACCUUAUUUGCUAUUAGCUACUUUCUUAUUUUAAUAGCACAAUACCCUUUAUUCAAUCUCACUGUAGUUACAUCAGUAAAUCAAUUUACACAUUUUGGUUAAUACUAGGGCUGUCAAGUGAUUAAAAAGAUUAAUCGUGGUAUUAAACAAUAAUAGAAUACCAUUUAUUUAAAUACUUUUGGAAGUUUUCUACAUUUUCAAAUAUAUUGAUAUCAAUUACAACACAGAAUACAAAGUGUACAGGGCUCACUUUAUAUUUAUUUUUAUUACAAAUAUUUGCACUGUAAAAAACAAAAGAAAUACACCUCUACCACUGUAUAACGCUGUCAUCAGGAGCCAAAAAAUCUUACCGCAUUAUAGCUGAAACCGCGUUAUAUUGAACUUGCUUUGAUCCACCGGAGUGUGCAGCCCUGCCCUGUUUUACCGCGUUAUAUCCAAAUUCGUGUUAUAUCAGGUCGCGUUAUAUGGAGGUAGUGGUGUAGUAUUUUUAAAUUCACCUCAUACGAGUACUGUAGUGCAAUCUCUUUAUCAUGAAAGUUGAACUUACAAAUGUAGAAUUAUGUACAAAAAAACCUGCAUUCAAAAAUAAAACAAUGUAAAACUUUAGAGCCUACAAGUCCACUCAGUCCUACUUCUUGUUCAGCCAACCGCUUAGACAAACAAGUUUGUUUACAUUUGCAGAAGAUAAUGCUGCCUGCUUCUAGUUUACAAUGUCACCUGAAAGUGAGAGCAGGCUUUUGUAUGGCACUGUUUUAGCUGGCGUCCCAAGAUAUUUACAUGUCUAAUGCGCUAAAGAUUCAUAUGUACCUUCAUGCUUCAACCACCAUUCCAGAGGACAUGCGUCCAUGCUGAUGACAGGUUCUGCUCAAUAACAAUCCAAAGCAGUGUGGACCGACGCAUGUUCAUUUUCAUCAUCUGAGUCAGAUACCACCAGCAGAAGGUUGAUUUUCUUUUUUGGUGGUUUGGAUUCUGUAGUUUCUGCAUCAGAGUGUUGCUCUUUUUUAAGACUUCUGAAAGCAUGCUCCACAUAGGGUGACCAGAUGACAGAGGUGAAAUAGCAGUAUGCGGGGGGCCCAGAGCAAAAAAAAAAAAAAAAAAAAAAAAACAAGCUGGCGGCGGAGCAAAACAAAAAAAACCGCCGGAGCACAGGAAAAAUUGGUGGGGGCUGAGAACUCACCGGCAGCUCCACGCCCUCGCACCCCACACCAGCUUGCCUCCGCUCCGUCUCCACCUCCCCCCUUGGGGAGGGAGGGGGGCAGCACGCAGAGACCCCCCCCCCAGCCAGAGGGACCUGCCAGGGGGCCAGGUGAGUCCCAGCAGUGCUAGCCUUACCUGGAGCGGCUCCCAGGAAGCAUCCAGCAGGCAGGUCCUGUCCCUCUGG
This is a long non-coding RNA of Malaclemys terrapin pileata, 3095 nucleotides long. RefSeq lists it as uncharacterized. NCBI's taxonomy places the organism in Eukaryota, Metazoa, Chordata, Testudines, Emydidae. The transcript has 3 exons. The record is from RefSeq and is a predicted model, not a curated record.